AAAUUACAUUUCCAAGAAUAAUCUUGGAACAAGACAAGUUUUUGUUCAAUUAAUUGUGGCUGGAAACUUUUUAAUGGAAACAUAGCACACACUUACUUCAUUUCAGAUUAUUAAAUUGUGUUAAGCGUUAAAGUUAGUUGCCAUUCUUUGCUGUAGCUCAUUUGUUCUUUUCGAUCCAGAGAAAUAUUAGAAGGUUAAAACUUAUCACAUAGGAGGGAUUAAUCAUGCAACCAAAAUUAGACAGCCUGUAGUUCUGAGAGACUGUCAAAAUUGUGUGCUCGUAGCCCUUAAACUAUUGAGAAUCUAGGACCCCACUACUACGUCUAAGAUGACAGUUAAUGUCUGUGGAAACCCUGGAUGUUUAGGAGCUGGUGAAGCUAGAAUUCUCUUACUCUUUAAGGGCACCACUUUCAGAUAAAAACAUAGACCUGAAUGGCAUCAUCCAGUAUCCAAGGAAACCAUGUCUCUAAGUCCACUGAUGACAGGAAAAUCUUCAGUGGUUCCAGAGACAAGCUGCUGGAAAUCCUGCACAUUUAUCUUCCAGGAGGAAGUGAGCUGGUUAGGAUAGAGGUCCCUUCUGGAAGAACCUCCCCCAAAACUUUAAAGGACUCCAAAUUAAGCCAGGUCCAUUUCUGGGACCCUAAAGUGGCUCAUGAAAGUCAGGGGCCACUUGAUUAAUGUUUGGUGAUUUCAAAAGCCUUAAGAUUCUAAGGGGAGAGUAAAGAUGGGGAAGGUGAGGCUGAAUAAAUUGUGAGAAUCUAUCAAAUAACAAGGCAUCUCUUUAAUUCCAAGCAUCAUGUUCUAUCUCACUUUGUAUCUUUCAGUUAAAAAAAGGAAAACGUGUCUUCUUUAAAAACAUAUUUUUCCUCUAUUAAUAUUCAGUACUUAAUAUAUGAAUACAGAUCCAUCAUUCUUUAGCUUUAGGUAGAUCACAACCUAAUUUACAAAUUCAAAAGCGUAAGUAAGAUCAACUCAAUUGCUCAAGGCCAUGUAUUUGCAAGCUAAGAGCAUGCAUUGAACAUUUCCUGUCCUUGGACUGGUGUACUGGGCAAUGCUGCUUUUCUCUAAGAAUUUGUUCAUCUAUUGGCUUUAACACAAUUUUGCUUAUCAGUUGAAAACGUUUAACCUAUACCCACUCAUGUAAUAUAAAGUAUAAAAUUAAAUCAAUGAUCUAGAAAAUUCAGGGCAAAGUAGUUUAAAUCAUUUUGAUCUUCCUAAAGAUUUUGAUUUUUUUUUAACCUGAAAAAAUAGGUGAUUACUCAAUAGCCUUAGCUCAAAAAUAUAUCUGACAGGUUAUUUUUAUUUGUUUGGUUUUCAGAAAUUAUAUUCGUGCUUUCUACCCUCUGUAGUUUUUAGCAAAAUGAAUCAAAGCCACUCUGUACCCAAAGAUAACACCACUGUUGUCUUUUUUUUUUUUUUUUUUUUAAACAUUGCAGGGCUUUACCUCGAGAGCUACGCAGUAAAUUUACAGGGAAAGAAAAAUUUUAUUAAAUUAUAACUGAGAGGAGCUGAUUUUUUUACAUAGCAAACAAAAAAUUCCUUCAUGAAAGGCUAUAA
This 1557-nucleotide long non-coding RNA is filed under the name Mustela putorius furo (domestic ferret). RNAcentral's name for it is "lncRNA (ENSMPUG00000029597.1)". The record is from RNAcentral. Lineage: Eukaryota; Metazoa; Chordata; Mammalia; Carnivora; Mustelidae.